This 1320-nucleotide ribosomal RNA is filed under the name Bacillus nakamurai. RNAcentral's name for it is "bacterial SSU rRNA". It matches the Rfam family "Bacterial small subunit ribosomal RNA", at positions 8 to 1311 of the family's 1533-position model. The record is from RNAcentral. Lineage: Bacteria; Bacillati; Bacillota; Bacilli; Caryophanales; Bacillaceae.
AGAGUUUGAUCCUGGCUCAGGACGAACGCUGGCGGCGUGCCUAAUACAUGCAAGUCGAGCGGACAGAUGGGAGCUUGCUCCCUGAUGUCAGCGGCGGACGGGUGAGUAACACGUGGGUAACCUGCCUGUAAGACUGGGAUAACUCCGGGAAACCGGGGCUAAUACCGGAUGCUUGUUUGAACCGCAUGGUUCAAACAUAAAAGGUGGCUUCGGCUACCACUUACAGAUGGACCCGCGGCGCAUUAGCUAGUUGGUGAGGUAACGGCUCACCAAGGCAACGAUGCGUAGCCGACCUGAGAGGGUGAUCGGCCACACUGGGACUGAGACACGGCCCAGACUCCUACGGGAGGCAGCAGUAGGGAAUCUUCCGCAAUGGACGAAAGUCUGACGGAGCAACGCCGCGUGAGUGAUGAAGGUUUUCGGAUCGUAAAGCUCUGUUGUUAGGGAAGAACAAGUGCCGUUCGAAUAGGGCGGCACCUUGACGGUACCUAACCAGAAAGCCACGGCUAACUACGUGCCAGCAGCCGCGGUAAUACGUAGGUGGCAAGCGUUGUCCGGAAUUAUUGGGCGUAAAGGGCUCGCAGGCGGUUUCUUAAGUCUGAUGUGAAAGCCACCGGCUCAACCGGGGAGGGUCAUUGGAAACUGGGGAACUUGAGUGCAGAAGAGGAGAGUGGAAUUCCACGUGUAGCGGUGAAAUGCGUAGAGAUGUGGAGGAACACCAGUGGCGAAGGCGACUCUCUGGUCUGUAACUGACGCUGAGGAGCGAAAGCGUGGGGAGCGAACAGGAUUAGAUACCCUGGUAGUCCACGCCGUAAACGAUGAGUGCUAAGUGUUAGGGGGUUUCCGCCCCUUAGUGCUGCAGCUAACGCAUUAAGCACUCCGCCUGGGGAGUACGGUCGCAAGACUGAAACUCAAAGGAAUUGACGGGGGCCCGCACAAGCGGUGGAGCAUGUGGUUUAAUUCGAAGCAACGCGAAGAACCUUACCAGGUCUUGACAUCCUCUGACAAUCCUAGAGAUAGGACGUCCCCUUCGGGGGCAGAGUGACAGGUGGUGCAUGGUUGUCGUCAGCUCGUGUCGUGAGAUGUUGGGUUAAGUCCCGCAACGAGCGCAACCCUUGAUCUUAGUUGCCAGCAUUCAGUUGGGCACUCUAAGGUGACUGCCGGUGACAAACCGGAGGAAGGUGGGGAUGACGUCAAAUCAUCAUGCCCCUUAUGACCUGGGCUACACACGUGCUACAAUGGACAGAACAAAGGGCAGCGAAACCGCGAGGUUAAGCCAAUCCCACAAAUCUGUUCUCAGUUCGGAUCGCAGUCUGCAAC